Molecule: non-coding RNA, 896 nt
Filed under: Pongo abelii (Sumatran orangutan)
Lineage: Eukaryota; Metazoa; Chordata; Mammalia; Primates; Hominidae
Source: RNAcentral
ACUGUGAAGUCACAAGAGGCCCUGAGCUCUGUGGGCCCCAGGAGCCCCGGGAAAACCUGGGGGAGAAUGGGCAUCCCACCCCAGCACUUUCUAGGAAGAAGGGCAACAUUUUGAAGGGCUGGAAGUAGAGAAAGAAGGUUGCGGGUAGAAGACUCCAUACUUUCUGUGACGCCUAUUCCUUAGCUUGUGAUGAAUGUUUUCUCAGUAUCCUAUGCUGAAAACAGGUAGAUACUAAUCCCUCCUUCAAGGGAGGGCUGUUGAGUAUUGAAUAAGAUAAAAACAUGGAAGCAAUCAGCACAAUGCUGGAGAGCUUUUAUAUAACCAAAGAUAUUUUUGGACCAUGAAUUCGGAAAUUCUCGGAGCCACCCAUCAAUGCCUGAGCUUCAGUGAGUCCAUAUCCCAUGUCACCUACGGCAAAGGAGAAUCUGAGACUUCUGAAGAGUUUCUUGCUUCUUUCCUGUGGGGCAGUGACUCCACUUCCCAGCAGUAAUGGAAUAUCCUGAAUUAGCUACAUUAAUGUUAGAACCAUUUGGACCUCACCCAGGACUUCAACUACAUUGUGAGUAACUCCUGGACGACUGGCACAGAAGAAGGCACAAGGCAAAUACCCAUCUCUGUACACCCUGUGCUACUGUGUCAUGUGCUGCUCCAGGCAACUCCAAUGGAUUGGCCACCCUGGCCAAUGUGUUCUAGUAUGUUAGGUUUAUGUUCCCCUGCUUUCUACAAUCCUGUUCAAAGAGUUGCUGACUUAACCACAGAGAGAAUUCCAGAACAUGAGACACAGAAUAAACUUGAACAAUCAUAGUCCAUCCACUUCAUUUUCUCAUCGAAAACCAAAGGUCCAGUGAGGCUCUGGAACUCGACGCUGUAAAGGAGCGAAGGAGCAUCUAUACAGA